CACCAUCUGUUUCUCCCUGUGGUGUCCCACCACGGUCAGUGCCCACAUCCACCUACAAACAGAACCAUUGCUGGUGAAAAAAAGUGCCCUAACAUCAGCAGACCAAUGUGACUUUUCUCUCAUGCUUUGUUCGAUUUUGAUGCUCUGAGACACGAGGAUAUGAUUACUACUUUCAGGAAUCCUCAGAAAAUGCAACUGUGUCCAAGGUACUUGGAAGAGGAUUCAUGUAUUACUGCCUCAUAGACGUUGCAAAUAAUGUGUCAUUAAGAUGAAAUGAUGCAGAGCUUCAGAAGUUGUCACAUUUUUGUCUAAGGAGACAACGAAAAAAAAAAUUUUUGAAGUAUUUGGCCAUGAAAAAAAUAGGGGGAAAUGCGAAGAAAUGCCAAUAGGGGGGAGUAUACCUCUAAAUGCAAAGACAUUUGUCUAAGUCACAGCUCAAAUACGAGCAGAAAAUCAAACACUUCCUGGUCUAGCCUUACUUGGUGAUGAUGAUCACUUCUCAGAAAUUUUGAGGGCCAAGUAUGGUCAUAGAACUAUGAUAUUUGGUUUAGUCACUUAC
This is a long non-coding RNA of Prionailurus viverrinus (fishing cat), 559 nucleotides long. RefSeq lists it as uncharacterized. The record is from RefSeq and is a predicted model, not a curated record. The transcript is spliced from 3 exons. Lineage: Eukaryota; Metazoa; Chordata; Mammalia; Carnivora; Felidae.